GUUUGUGCCCAUGAUUUACAGAGAAACAGAAAGGAGACAGGUGGUUUGCAUGCAAGUAGAAAGGAAGGAGACGACAGAGAGUGAGGGAGACUGGGAGAGAAGGGAAAGUUCAGAAGAAAGAAGAGAAGCAACCAGAAUCCAAAACCGCAAGCACCAAACACCAAUCGGCAAGCUUUUCAGAUCAAAAACAAAGAAUCCAAAACAAACGCAGACCAAUGCGUGCGUAAUUGGUCAAAUCGGAAUAUCUGAUUGAGCAUCCAUUUGAUCAAAUCGGAGGAUCCGAUUGAGCAAUCAGAUAUUUUUGAUAUAUUGAGGUUCAGUUCACUCUUCACAAUAUAAUACUAGACUGUGUGAAAGAGAGGCAGAGAGAGGGAGAUAGAGUUGCAGCAUGCCUGUAGCUAAGAGAAGAGAGAGGGAGAUAGAGUCUUCUUAUUUUGAAAUCGAGCAGAGGAAGCUAAUUAUAUUCUGAAAUAGUGGGAAUUGCAGAAAGGUCAGAGAAGAAACUGAAGCCUGUGCUUUAGGUUUUGGCAAUCAUUUAAUGUGAAUCUGGAGGUUGUGCAUAUUGAAGUAGCUCAGAGAACCAAGCUUUUUCAACACUCUCAGAGGACACAGGCAUGCACAAAAUUGCUAGAAUCAUGAAGCCAAGUCUUCCAGCAAAGAAGUUGUAAAGGUACUUAUAUUUGAAUCUUGUUGCAGGGUGAUAUCUCAGGAUUGGAAGUGAAAUCCCGGGACAUUGGAUCAACCAUUACAACUCCAUCGAAAAGGAAGAGUAAGAAAAAGUCUGAAGCAACAACUUCUGCUCAAGCCUCAUCCUCAUCAGAGAGCCUUACUCACACUGCCAAUGCUUCCCCAAUGAUGACCAUUAAGGUCAUAUUUGGAGUGGCUCUUGUGUCUGUCAUCCUUGGCAUCAUUCUUGGGAAACGAUAUUAGCUUUCGUGUAUUGUGGUAUUGGUUUGGCCCCUCAGGUUUUGGUUUAUAUUUUCCCUUGGUAUAAAUUAUGCACAGCUGAUUGAAAGCUUUGUUUUUAUGCUUUCAAGCUUAUAGUUUUUGAGGUUUUUGGUCUGGGAGUUUAUUUUGAUGCCUAUGCUCCUUGCCUGUUUGCAAAGCAAAACACAGCUAAUUCAUGUAUUGUUAUUCAAGUUUGUAUCAAGUUUUCGAUUGGGUUGCA
This is a long non-coding RNA of Rosa rugosa (rugosa rose), 1168 nucleotides long. RefSeq lists it as uncharacterized. The record is from RefSeq and is a predicted model, not a curated record. The transcript is spliced from 4 exons. Lineage: Eukaryota; Viridiplantae; Streptophyta; Magnoliopsida; Rosales; Rosaceae.